CGUAGGUGGUUUGUUAAGUCUGAUGUGAAAGCCCUGGGCUCAACCUGGGAAUGGCAUUGGAAACUGGCUUACUAGAGUGCGGUAGAGGGUAGUGGAAUUCCCGGUGUAGCAGUGAAAUGCGUAGAUAUCGGGAGGAACAUCUGUGGCGAAGGCGACUACCUGGACCAGCACUGACACUGAGGCACGAAAGCGUGGGGAGCAAACAGGAUUAUAUACCCUGGUAGUCCACGCCCUAAAAGAUGCGAACUGGAUGUUAGAA
Molecule: ribosomal RNA, 259 nt
Filed under: Lysobacter antibioticus
Lineage: Bacteria; Pseudomonadati; Pseudomonadota; Gammaproteobacteria; Lysobacterales; Lysobacteraceae
Description: partial 16S ribosomal RNA
Rfam family: Bacterial small subunit ribosomal RNA
Source: RNAcentral